CUUUUUUUAUAUUUCCAAACAUCAAAGAAAUCCGUUUAAGGGAAGUUGCGUACGGAAAGUCAUGCACACAAAGUUCAACCAGUGCGGUAAAUGUAGGUUCUCAUGGUGCUUCAAAGGCUGUUGAUGGAGAUUUGAAUACAUUUAUGCAUACUGACCUAGAUCAAUCACCUUAUUGGAUUGUUGACCUUGGAAAAACAUACCAAAUAAAGCGGAUCGAAAUAUUCAACAGAAAGCAAGGCGCUAUAUAUACAGGUGAGUAAAGCUUUCUACGUGAUGGGAUAUUUCGGUAUGACGUAUAAUAAAUCUUUUUAUACACUAUUUGACAUUCUAUGAUUUGUAAUUUCUUUUGUUUGUGUUCAUUUUGUAGACUAACAUCGCUCUAUUUGACAAAACCUUUCGGAAAGUUGUGUUCUCAAUGAUCUUCAACUUCGUUCUUUAGUUGGACUUUUUAUAUGUUUUUUUUCGAGCGUCACUGAUCAGUCUUUUGUAGUAGAAACGCGCGUCUCACGUAUAAAAUGUUUAACCUGGUAUCCGUAUGUUAAGUUUACUUACUGUUAUUGACAUCUAAAUUCGAUUAUCUCUAUCUUUAUGAUAAAUUUCCGAAAUUUUAUUUGGUAAUUUUUGACAUGCUUUUUACGUUCUUAUAAACAGAAUUCUCUUUUUUAUGCAGAAUUUCCUGCACUGAUUUCCUGUUACAAAACUUUGAAUUUUACGAAAAACUAAGGAUUUUCUUAUCCCAGGCAUAGAUUACCUUAGCCGUAUUUGGCACAACUUUUUGGAAUUUUGGAUCGUCAAUGCUCUUCAACUUUGUACUUGUUGAUAUGGGCGUCACUGAUGAGUCUUAUGUAGACGAAACGCGCGUCUGGCGUACUAAAGGAUAAUCCUGGUACAUUUGAUAACUAUUAAGGCAGCAACCAUUUUGAUUUUCUGGGGGGGGGGGGGGGGGCUUGGUUUUUUUUUCUGGACAAAUUUUUUUUUUCGCCUCGGCGAAAAACAAUCUAUUUUGUUCGCGACAAGCGAAAAAAUUUUUUCUUUCAAUUCAGUAUUAACGAUGUGGCAGCUGAGGUGAAACAAACAAUUUUUUUUUCUCAGAAUCAAAAACAAUUAUUUUUUUCCCAAACUGAAACAAACUUUUUUCCAAAAAAACAUAGCCCCCCCCCAGAAAAUCAAAAUGGUGCUGCCUAAGCGUGUAGCAGAUAGUAAAAUUUCGAAAAAAGUGUUCUAUGACAUACGUGUGUAUGCAAGAUAAGGAGGAGAUUUCAAACCAACCGUGAGUGUAAACUGGAUAUCAGUAACGAAUCAAACGGGAUUACACAACAAGGAAUAGCCUAUACGAAAAUAUAAACACAUAAAUAAACUGCAAUCUAAGCAUAGGUUAAUUUAUUAACUUUUAAUUUGUUUCAGGACGACGUCUGCAUGACCUGGACAUUAUUGUUGGUACUUCAUUAAAUAACACGCAUCUAUGUACCCAAUACGCAGGACCGGCUGAACUCGGAGAACAUCUUGUGCUUGGAUGUCAAUAUGACGAAAAGGCACGUUUUGUGAAGUUGAUGCUACGAGGAAGAGAGUACUUACAUGUGGCGGAAGUCAAAGUGUAUACACUGUAUGAUUAAUCUAACUAAAUAAAUUAUACAUAUUACGUUUUCUUAUAGUUUACCCGACCACGUCCACUUGUAUUUUUGUCCAUCUGAUGAGUUAAGCCUUUUUCAACUGAUUUUUAUAGUUCGUUCUUAUGUUUUACUGUUAUACCACUGUCCCAGAUUAGGGGGAGGGUUGGGAUCCCGCUAACAUGUUUAACCCCGCCACAUUAUUAGCUCACCUGGCCCAAAGGGCUAAGUGAGUUUUUCUCAUCACUUUGCGUCCGGCGUCGUCGUCCGUCGUCGUCGUUGUCCGUCGUCGUUAGCUUUUACAAAAAUCUUCUCCUCUGAAACUACUG
RNAcentral lists this long non-coding RNA (1936 nucleotides) under Mytilus galloprovincialis (Mediterranean mussel). Lineage: Eukaryota; Metazoa; Mollusca; Bivalvia; Mytilida; Mytilidae. The record is from RNAcentral.